UACAGAGGUCUCAAGCGUUGUCCGGAUUUAUUGGGCGUAAAGAGCUCGUAGGCGGUUGGGUAAGUCGGGUGUGAAAACUCCCGGGCUCAACUCGGAGACGCCACCCGAUACUGCUCUGACUUGAGUCCGGUAGGGGAGUGGGGAAUUCCUGGUGUAGCGGUGAAAUGCGCAGAUAUCAGGAGGAACACCGGUGGCGAAGGCGGGUCUCUGGGCCGAUACUGACGCUGAGGAGCGAAAGCGUGGGGAGCAAACAGG
RNAcentral lists this ribosomal RNA (255 nucleotides) under uncultured bacterium. RNAcentral's name for it is "partial 16S ribosomal RNA". It matches the Rfam family "Bacterial small subunit ribosomal RNA", at positions 524 to 776 of the family's 1533-position model. The record is from RNAcentral.